AUCUUCGUAGAACCUGGAUGAAUAGAAAAUGGCAAACUAUGAGCCUCAGCCAACACAGCCUCCCGAAUGAUUGGAUUUGAUGGUACACAGAAUCGAUCACCCAACCAAAUCACAUCGUGAUCAUCAAUACAAAACUCAGGCUGUUUGCCCUCCUCCAGAUUUUGCGCCAUACUCCAUAAUUCCCUAUCUUCCUUUUGAGCUUCUU
RNAcentral lists this long non-coding RNA (205 nucleotides) under Panax ginseng (ginseng). RNAcentral's name for it is "long non-coding RNA (PGIN_LNC008894)". Lineage: Eukaryota; Viridiplantae; Streptophyta; Magnoliopsida; Apiales; Araliaceae. The record is from RNAcentral.